AUCCAACUGACGAGUCGUGAAUAGGACGAAACAUGAGUCCUGGAU
Non-coding RNA from Schistosoma curassoni, 45 nucleotides. Lineage: Eukaryota; Metazoa; Platyhelminthes; Trematoda; Strigeidida; Schistosomatidae. The record is from Rfam.